CGCGGGGCAGCAUGCACCAGGGCCACAGUCCAAUCCAACCGGCCACCUGUGUGUGGGCUUUGGUUCGUCUGGGUUUUCUUAUUGCCCCGAUCUAAGCAUAUUUUCUCACUCUUUAGUGGCUGGGGAAAGUCAAAAUAAGAAUAGGGUUUCAUGACCUGUGAAAAUGCUAUGAAAUUCGAAUGUCAGCGUCCUGAUGGAGUUCACUGGGACCCGGCCCAGCCCGAUCGCGCAGCGCUGCCUGCAGCUGCUUUCGCAACACGCAGGCCGGGUGGAGGAGUACUUGCAACAUGUGACCACAGCAGCUAGGAGUAUGUGCCACCAAACCGCUUGCAAAAAGGGUGGCCGUAUAGCUUAAUGGCAGAGGAGCCCUGAAGUGCAGUGCUGGGAGCCGUGGAGCCAGCAGCAGCACACACGGACCGCCUCUCGAGUCAGGAUGCGCGGUGGCCCGAUUGAAGAGCUGUGUCCACAUCUUUGAGGAGCACUCUACUCCCUCCUGGGAGACUGGCGAGAUCAUGAGGUGAAGGUGGCGGCAGGUGGACACCAAGCUGCCAGGAUACACUGGGCACUGGCAGCAGUGAACCCAAAGGCUCCGUACUCCAGAAUACCCCCAGCCCCCACCCUGUGAUUCCCCCACCGGGUAUCCCCCAUCCCAGUGUCCCCAUCACUACUGCCCUAGGACUGCUCUAGCCUCCUGGGGUGAUCACUGCCCACAGUGGAGGCUCCAGCUGCCCCAGGACGCGCAGGAAGAGGGACCCUGUGCUGUCCCAGCCUUGCGGCAUCUGUGCCCUUACAGGCCAGAGAGCCCCAGUCCCCUAAUGGAGCCAUGUGGAGGUGUCUGGGGGACUCGGGCCCCGUGACCUUCCCCUCUUGGGCUGGAUGAGCUCUAAGAGCCUGCACUUCUCUGCUUCCAGAAAGCUUGCUGCGCAGCCCUGGAACCCCAGAGCUGCACCAGCAGGGUGCCGUCUUGGUGUAGAGGGGACGAUGACGGUAGGAUGCUGCCAGCCUGGCAUGUGAUGCAGCCAGAAACAGGCAGGGGCAGCCCGGCGCAGAGUAGGUGCACAGUCACCCCUGGUGCCAGCCGCCAGCCCCAGGCCUGCUGCUGAGACCUCGGGCUUCCCUUC
RNAcentral lists this long non-coding RNA (1121 nucleotides) under Canis lupus dingo (dingo). RNAcentral describes it as "lncRNA (ENSCAFG00020008794.1)". The record is from RNAcentral. Lineage: Eukaryota; Metazoa; Chordata; Mammalia; Carnivora; Canidae.